RNAcentral lists this ribosomal RNA (321 nucleotides) under uncultured bacterium. RNAcentral's name for it is "bacterial SSU rRNA". It matches the Rfam family "Bacterial small subunit ribosomal RNA", at positions 29 to 375 of the family's 1533-position model. The record is from RNAcentral.
AACGAACGCUGGCGGCAUGCCUAACACAUGCAAGUCGAACGAGACCUUCGGGUCUAGUGGCGCACGGGUGCGUAACACGUGGGAAUUUGCCUCGGGGUAUGGAAUAACUCAGGGAAACUUGAGCUAAUACCAUAUAAUGUCUUCGGACCAAAGAUUUAUCGCCCUGAGAUAAGCCCGCGUAGGAUUAGCUAGUUGGUGGGGUAAAGGCUCACCAAGGCGACGAUCCUUAGCUGGUCUGAGAGGAUGAUCAGCCACACUGGGACUGAGACACGGCCCAGACUCCUACGGGAGGCGAGCAAGUGGGGAAUAUUGGACAAUGGG